RNAcentral lists this ribosomal RNA (370 nucleotides) under uncultured Desulfobulbus sp. Its description in RNAcentral is "bacterial SSU rRNA". It matches the Rfam family "Bacterial small subunit ribosomal RNA", at positions 1014 to 1382 of the family's 1533-position model. Lineage: Bacteria; Pseudomonadati; Thermodesulfobacteriota; Desulfobulbia; Desulfobulbales; Desulfobulbaceae. The record is from RNAcentral.
CUUCCAUCUGGAGAAUCUGGAGACAGGUGCUGCAUGGCUGUCGUCAGCUCGUGUCGUGAGAUGUUGGGUUAAGUCCCGCAACGAGCGCAACCCUUGCCUUUAGUUGCCAGCAGUUCGGCUGGGCACUCUAAAGGGACUGCCGGUGUUAAACCGGAGGAAGGUGGGGAUGACGUCAAGUCCUCAUGGCCUUUAUGACCAGGGCUACACACGUACUACAAUGGCCGAUACAAAGGGCAGCGACACUGCGAGGUGAAGCCAAUCCCGUAAAAUCGGUCUCAGUCCGGAUUGGAGUCUGCAACUCGACUCCAUGAAGUUGGAAUCGCUAGUAAUCGUGGAUCAGCAUGCCACGGUGAAUACGUUCCCGGGCCUU